RNAcentral lists this ribosomal RNA (440 nucleotides) under uncultured bacterium. RNAcentral describes it as "partial 16S ribosomal RNA". It matches the Rfam family "Bacterial small subunit ribosomal RNA", at positions 338 to 795 of the family's 1533-position model. The record is from RNAcentral.
CCUACGGGAGGCAGCAGUAGGGAAUUUUGCGCAAUGGGCGAAAGCCUGACGCAGCAACGCCGCGUGAUCGAGACGCCCUUCGGGGUGUACAGACCUGUCAGUGGGGACGAAACUUGACGGUACCCACAGAGGAAGCACCGGCUAACUCCGUGCCAGCAGCCGCGGCAAUACGGGGGGUGCAAGCGUUGUCCGGAAUAAGUGGGCGUAAAGAGUUUGUAGGCGGCACGUAAAGUCUGGUGUUAAAGGCAGAGGCCCAACUUCGGUACGGCACUGGAUACUUGCGGGCUAGAGUGCGGUAGAGGUAAAGGGAAUGCCUGGUGUAGCGGUGAAAUGCUUAGAUAUCGGGAGGAACAUCGGUGGCGUAGGCGCUUUGCUGGGCCGUAAUUGACGCUGAGGAACGAAAGCCAGGGUAGCAAAUGGGAUUAGAUACCCUUGUAGUC